CCUACGGGAGGCAGCAGUGAGGAAUAUUGGACAAUGGGCGCAAGCCUGAUCCAGCCAUGCCGCGUGCAGGAAGACGGUCCUAUGGAUUGUAAACUGCUUUUGUACGGGAAGAAACACUCCUACGUGUAGGAGCUUGACGGUACCGUAAGAAUAAGGAUCGGCUAACUCCGUGCCAGCAGCCGCGGUAAUACGGAGGAUCCAAGCGUUAUCCGGAAUCAUUGGGUUUAAAGGGUCCGUAGGCGGUUUAGUAAGUCAGUGGUGAAAGCCCAUCGCUCAACGAUGGAACGGCCAUUGAUACUGCUAGACUUGAAUUACUAGGAAGUAACUAGAAUAUGUAGUGUAGCGGUGAAAUGCUUAGAUAUUACAUGGAAUACCAAUUGCGAAGGCAGGUUACUACUAGUGGAUUGACGCUGAUGGACGAAAGCGUGGGGAGCGAACAGGAUUAGAUACCCUGGUAGUCCACGCCGUAAACGAUGGAUACUAGCUGUUCGGGGCAACCUGAGUGGCUAAGCGAAAGUGAUAAGUAUCCACCUGGGGAGUACGUUCGCAAGAAUGAAACUCAAAUGAAUUGACGG
This 575-nucleotide ribosomal RNA is filed under the name uncultured bacterium. RNAcentral describes it as "bacterial SSU rRNA". It matches the Rfam family "Bacterial small subunit ribosomal RNA", at positions 338 to 916 of the family's 1533-position model. The record is from RNAcentral.